GAGAGAGAGAGAGAGAGAGAAUUAUAGAAGCCAUGAAGAGUUUUCUGGCAAAGAUGUGGUGUGCAAGAAAUAGGGAAUUGGAAGAUUUGUAAUGGAUACUGCUUGUGUUGUUUUGUUUAUUACAGGUUGUGCCGAUACGAAGGCAUGACUCUCCAACGGGUCACCUGUACAGCAAGAGCAAGAGCAAGACCGACAGCCCGCCUCGGCACCUCAGCCCGCCCCAAAGCUCCCUCCAUGGCCUCCUGCAGGGCUUGAGGUGUUCAGGCUCCCCACACUGCUGCCCCACGCAGUGCCAGGGCAGUGCCACACCUGUAAUCUGCGGCGCCAUGCCCGGUCUGAGGGCGCCGCUGGACUGGAGUUGCCGGAGCCAGUGUUGACGUCGGACAUGAUGCCACACUUUGAGGACGUAGCGAUCAUUCCUAACCCCGGGGAGCGCGCCGAGGCCAUGCGCCAGCUGAUCAACCGCCUGCCAACCGCCAACCGCCUGCUGCUACAAUACAUGUUCAAGCAUAUGGGACACAUCAUUGCAAGGCAUCUUGUCAGCCGUCCCAGCCUCUCGUCACCCUAUCCCCGCUGGACUCUGGGUAAAGACGUGACCAACCCCCAGCCUCCAGCCUCUUGUCACACCUCCAAGCCUUUCCCCGCUGGACAUUGCUUCGAGACGUGAUGAACAACAACAGCCUCCAGCAUUUGCCACACCUCCGAGCCUCUCUCCUCGUCAUUUGCCCGGUGGACCCUGGACGAGGAGGACGUGAGGAAGAGGAGGUGAAGAUGAAGACGAGGAAUAAGUGGUGGCUCGGGAUUUCUCCCCAGCCAGGCCUUUGUACAGCAAGAGCAAGAGGAAGACCGCCAGCCCGCCUCGGCCCCUCAGCCCGCCCCAAAGCUCCCUCCAUGGCCUCCUGCAGGGCUUGAGGUGUUCAGGCUCCCCACACUGCUGCCCCACGCAGUGCCAGGGCAGUGCCACACCUGUAAGCUGCGGCGCCAUGCCCGGUCUGAGAGCGCCGUUGGUCUGUUGUGCCGAUACGAAGGCAUGACUCUCCAACGGGUCACCUGUACAGCAAGAGCAAGAGCAGGACCGCCAGCCCGCCUCGGCCCCUCAGCCCUCCCCAAAGCUCCCUCCAUGGCCUCCUCCAGGGCUUGAAGUGGUCAGGCUCCUCACAGUGCUGCCCCACGCAGUGCCAGGGCAGUGCCACACCUGUAAUCUGCGGCGCCAUGCCCGGUCUGAGGGCGCCGCUGGACUGUUGUGCCGAUACGAAGGCAUGACUCUCCAACGGGUCACCUGUACAGCAAGAGCAAGAGCAAGACCGCCAGCCCGCCCCGACCCCUCAGCCCGCCCCAAAGCUCCCUCCAUGGCCUCCUGCAGGGCUUGAGGUGGUCAGGCUCCCCACAGUGCUGCCCCUCGCAGUGCCAGGGCAGUGCCACACCUGUAAGCUGCGGUGCCAUGCCCGGUCUGAGGGCGCCGCUGGCCUGCUCAAACUCCAUCCUGGAGCUCCAGAAGAGGCCCUCUGGACUGGGGCCCAAGCAGCGGUGGACUCUCAACAACAACAACAACAACAACUCCGUCAAGUAACCCAAGAGAGGAGGAAGAGCAUGGACAAUUUACAACAAUAUGCACAGACAACAACAAGAAGAAGAGGAGGAAGAAGAAGAAGAAGAUGAGGAGGAGGAAGAGAAUGGAAGAGAAGGACCAGCACACACCAUUGAGACAAGAGAAGGAAGAGGAAGAAAAAGAAGAUGAUGAAGAGGAAGAGGAGGAUGACUUUGAAGACCAGCAGACAGGCAGACAGACAGACAGACAUUGACACUACCAAACGAAGAAGAGGAGGAGGAGGAGGAAGAAGAAGACGAGGAACACAGGAGGAGCCCAUUGACACUACCAAACGAAGAAGAGGAGGAGGAGGAGGAAGAAGAAGACGAGGAACACAGGAGGAGCCCAUUGACACUACCAAACGAAGAAGAGGAGGAGGAGGAGGAAGAAGAAGACGAGGAACACAGGAGGAGCCCAUUGAGUGUGCAGUGUGCCACAGGCAGACCAAGACGCCAGAGAUGUCCGUUCAGCCAUUCAAUUCUGCCGAGGGAAAGAAAUCGUGUUAGUCAACUCUGAUGACUUGUACUUUUCUCUGUGGACUCUGCUGUAAGCCAGUCACGGAAGAUGUGAACUGUAUCUGUACUAUGAAGUCUUAUAAAUAAACUUAAGGGCCACACCUAUGACUUUAUCUUGCCCCAAACCCAUUUAGCUAAUCUCCGGACACUUUUUUAGAUAUAAUUGACUUAGGUAC
This is an RNA transcript of Eriocheir sinensis (Chinese mitten crab), 2279 nucleotides long. RefSeq lists it as uncharacterized. The transcript is spliced from 13 exons. The record is from RefSeq and is a predicted model, not a curated record. Lineage: Eukaryota; Metazoa; Arthropoda; Malacostraca; Decapoda; Varunidae.